UACGUAGGGUGCGAGCGUUAAUCGGAAUUACUGGGCGUAAAGCGUGCGCAGGCGGUCUGUUAAGACCGAUGUGAAAUCCCCGGGCUUAACCUGGGAACUGCAUUGGUGACUGGCAGGCUUUGAGUGUGGCAGAGGGAGGUAGAAUUCCACGUGUAGCAGUGAAAUGCGUAGAGAUGUGGAGGAAUACCGAUGGCGAAGGCAGCCUCCUGGGCCAACACUGACGCUCAUGCACGAAAGCGUGGGGA
RNAcentral lists this ribosomal RNA (245 nucleotides) under uncultured bacterium. RNAcentral's name for it is "partial 16S ribosomal RNA". It matches the Rfam family "Bacterial small subunit ribosomal RNA", at positions 524 to 767 of the family's 1533-position model. RNAcentral also lists the same sequence under 1 other name. The record is from RNAcentral.